RNAcentral lists this transfer RNA (64 nucleotides) under Cerceris sp. SJW-2017. RNAcentral describes it as "tRNA-Cys". The record is from RNAcentral. Lineage: Eukaryota; Metazoa; Arthropoda; Insecta; Hymenoptera; Crabronidae.
AUUUUUAUAGUUUAAAAAAAACAUUAAAUUGCAAAUUUAAUAAUAUUUAUCAAAAUUAAAAAUU